RNAcentral lists this ribosomal RNA (482 nucleotides) under uncultured bacterium. Its description in RNAcentral is "partial 16S ribosomal RNA". It matches the Rfam family "Bacterial small subunit ribosomal RNA", at positions 30 to 507 of the family's 1533-position model. The record is from RNAcentral.
AUUGAACGCUGGCGGCAUGCCUUACACAUGCAAGUCGAACGGUAACAGGUCUUCGGAUGCUGACGAGUGGCGAACGUGUGAGUAAUACAUCGGAACGUGCCCGAUCGUGGGGGAUAACGAGGCGAAAGCUUUGCUAAUACCGCAUACGAUCUACGGAUGAAAGCGGGGGAUCUUCGGACCUCGCGCGGACGGAGCGGCCGAUGGCAGAUUAGGUAGUUGGUGGGAUAAAAGCUUACCAAGCCGACGAUCUGUAGCUGGUCUGAGAGGAUGAUCAGCCACACUGGGACUGAGACACGGCCCAGACUCCUACGGGAGGCAGCAGUGGGGAAUUUUGGACAAUGGGCGAAAGCCUGAUCCAGCCAUGCCGCGUGCAGGAUGAAGGCCUUCGGGUUGUAAACUGCUUUUGUACGGAACGAAAAGCCUCUUUCUAAUAAAGAGGGGUCAUGACGGUACCGUAAGAAUAAGCACCGGCUAACUACGUG